This 72-nucleotide transfer RNA is filed under the name Minisyncoccota bacterium. Its description in RNAcentral is "tRNA-His". It matches the Rfam family "tRNA". Rfam says of the family: Transfer RNA (tRNA) molecules are approximately 80 nucleotides in length. The record is from RNAcentral. Lineage: Bacteria; Bacillati; Minisyncoccota.
GUGGCUAUGGUGUAGCGGUUAGCACUAGAGUUUGUGGAACUCUCAGUUCGGGUUCGACUCCCGAUAGCCACC